Zootermopsis nevadensis is the source of this 1243-nucleotide non-coding RNA. NCBI's taxonomy places the organism in Eukaryota, Metazoa, Arthropoda, Insecta, Blattodea, Termopsidae. The record is from RefSeq and is a predicted model, not a curated record.
GGAGUAGCAUGCUGAUAAAUUUGUAUCAUGUAAGACUUGAGGUUCUCACAGCGGUGAAUAUGAAGAUUUCUGUCUUCUGGGUUAUUGCGCUGUGUAGUCUGGUCGAUGUUAACCAACGUUUCAGAGGUCAUACUGCCUCCGUCAUCAGGGCGAUGACGGAGGCAGUAUGUGCAGGAGUCUGUAAAUGGAGACUGUAAGAUUCUGAUCGUAAAUCUGUGCUGCUGAAUUUCAUAUGGCCAACCUAAUAGUGACUCAGGAUACGCCAUCUAUGUUCUUCUCGGACAGCAGCAAUCGAUUUCGAUUUGAAGUAUUGUUCGAGAAUGGGCACGCGUUCUGAUCGACAUUCGCACAAAACUGGCGCGAGCAGCGGCCUAGCAAACAAGAUGCCACAGGGGAGGUCCGGAGAGUCUGUUGCAUGUGGGUGGGCCCGCUUCUGAUUACAUUUUUGUACCGAAGUGUGUGAUUUCGUUUGGUUGCUUUUUAAAUGGUACUUUCUGUACUACCUAAAGCCAAAACAGUGACUGUAACAGUGAUUUACUAGAACUAGUUGGCCUAAUAUAAAUUGUAUGUGUUAGAUUAACAUGCAUGUUUUACGGAGUAUUUAUUUUAUGACUUGGUGAAUACUAACAUGGCGACCGUGAUGAAUUUUGAAGUCAUAUCUUACCUCAGGACUGAAGUUACAAACCACAAAAUCGAAAGUGGGUGAAAUAUUGUUGCGAAUAUUUACAGAGAAAUAAAAGAAUGUUUAAUUUUACGCGUAAUUCUUGGACGUACUAACCUUAAUACAAUGAGGUAAUAUAUCUAUUUGUUUAUCCUUUCAAUAUUUAGGAUAUGCAGUUUAGGUCCAAAAACGAAUGUUUCGCGUGUUUUGCAGCUUGUUCGAUCAACAGAUCACAUUUUUAAACACUGCUCACAUCAUGUAUUGGGCAGCUGUAAUGGCAGGCCUACACCUAACUUGACACUCCAAGCACGACUUUCCAAGGCUAUGAUUUCUGCAUCCUGGCCUUCACGUAACCUUGUAGAAUUAUAGCUCAUGUUAUUGCAAUGUCAUUUUACGAUUUCUUCUCUUGUCGUUAUAAUAAUAGCCGAUCAGUAGAACAAUGCAACUAAUCCAGUGACGUAAAAUUGCUUUCAGUGCAUGUAAAAUUGAUGUUGCAGUUAUUCUUGACGCCUCAGUUAUCACACUCUUUUCCUAAGUUAAGUGCCUGUAUCUUUGCAGAUAAAUACUGUAAAUUGUUGUGUA